Molecule: ribosomal RNA, 484 nt
Filed under: uncultured bacterium
Lineage: Bacteria
Description: partial 16S ribosomal RNA
Rfam family: Bacterial small subunit ribosomal RNA
Source: RNAcentral
GAUUAACGCUAGCGGCAGGCAUAAUACAUGCAAGUUGUACGGCAGCACAGGUAGCAAUACUGGGUGGCGAGUGGCGCACGGGUGCGUAACACGUAUGCAACCUACCCUAUACAGGCGAAUAACCUUUAGAAAUGAGGGCUAAUACGCCGUAGUAUUACAGAUGGGCAUCUAUUUGUAAUUAAAGAUUUAUCGGUAUAGGAUGGGCAUGCGUCCCAUUAGUUAGUUGGUAAGGUAACGGCUUACCAAGACGAUGAUGGGUAGGGGAUCUGAGAGGACUUACCCCCACACUGGUACUGAGACACGGACCAGACUCCUACGGGAGGCAGCAGUAAGGAAUAUUGGGCAAUGGCCGCGAGGCUGACCCAGCCAUGCCGCGUGCAGGAAGACGGCCUUAUGGGUUGUAAACUGCUUUUAUACGGGAAUAAUAGAGUGUACGCGUACAUUUAUGCAAGUAUCGUAUGAAUAAGCAUCGGCUAACUCCGUG